This is a non-coding RNA of Cinara cedri, 546 nucleotides long. NCBI's taxonomy places the organism in Eukaryota, Metazoa, Arthropoda, Insecta, Hemiptera, Aphididae. The record is from the annotation of a GenBank genome assembly.
CCCGCUUUCUUACUUCUGCACAUUUUGUGGUGCUUGUGAGUGAUAACGAUACCUGGGGCGAACACCGUCGUCCGGCCACCGGCUCUGAGGUUUCCAAGGCCUCUGACAUAGUAACCUUUUUUUUUUUUUUGUGUUUCAUGAUCGAUUUUUACGGUAAACUAUAACCUGCAUUUUAUGCCUACUGCCAGGUGCACUUGUCCACGACCGCUUAUUCGCCCGAUCCCAGUCCUUGGGUCAUGGCUUAUUUCGCGGUUGUCCUGAAUACCUGCAGGUGCGUGCCUCUAUCCACAACCGCGGGGGCGGACGUUCCCGAUGGCAUAUGCAACGCUGCAAUGCGCACGGGUUUACAAUCGAGUCCUGGAAGCCAGCGUCGCCUUGUUUUUGGACCUCGGAUGGCAAUCAAGACGCCCGAGUCUUGUUGAAAAACUGCGCUGUCAUUACCUGAAACAUCAAACACGAACAAAUCACUAAACGUACGAUAUGGUACGAUAUAUGAAACGGUCGUAUGAUAUACUUUUGCGUUUAAACGCACAAGAAUACUUCACA